CCCUUAGACGUUCUGGGCCGCACGCGCGCUACACUGACGAAGGCAACGAGCUUUCCUUUACCGAAAGGUACGGGUAAUCUUUUGAAACUUCGUCGUGCUGGGGAUAGAUCCUUGCAAUUUUUGAUCUUAAACGAGGAAUGCCUAGUAAGCGCAAGUCAUCAACUUGCGUUGAUUACGUCCCUGCCCUUUGUACACACCGCCCGUCGCUACUACCGAUUGAAUGAUUUAGUGAGGCCUUCGGAUCCGCGACUCGUUUGUGGAGAAGUUGGACAAACUCAGUCAUUUAGAGGAAGUAAAAGUCGUAACA
Molecule: ribosomal RNA, 307 nt
Filed under: uncultured eukaryote
Lineage: Eukaryota
Description: partial 18S ribosomal RNA
Rfam family: Eukaryotic small subunit ribosomal RNA
Source: RNAcentral